CCCGGCCUAGGAACGGCUUGGGAAUGGCCUGGGAUCAGCCUGAGCAUGGCCUGGGGACAGCCCGGUCCGGGGACAGCCCAUCCUGGGCACAACCUCGGGACGCUUGGCCUGGGGACGGCUUGGGGACAGCCUGGGGACAGCCUGGGCACGGCCUCGGGACUCCUGGCCUGGGGACAGCCUGGUGAUGGCCUGGAGACAGCCUGGGAUGGCGCAGCCUGGGGACAGCUCGGCCUGGGGACGGCCUGAAGACAGCCUAGGACAGCCCUGUCUGGGAUCAGCCUGGGGACGGCCUGGGGACGGCCUGAGGACAGACCGGCCUGGGGACAGCCCAUCCUGGGCACGGCCUCGGGACUCCUGGCCUGGGGACGGCUUGGGGACAGCCUGGGACAGUCUGGUGAUGGCCUGGGGACAGCCUGGGACAGCGCGGCCUCGGAUCAGCCUGGGAUCAGCCUGGUGACAGCCUGGGCCGGGCUUGGGGACAGCCCGGCCGGGGACACACACGAGCGGCUGCGCCUGGGGCGGGGCGCCGGGCUCCCGCGGCC
RNAcentral lists this long non-coding RNA (542 nucleotides) under Marmota monax (woodchuck). The record is from RNAcentral. Lineage: Eukaryota; Metazoa; Chordata; Mammalia; Rodentia; Sciuridae.